This 72-nucleotide transfer RNA is filed under the name Tremella fuciformis. RNAcentral describes it as "tRNA-Ile". It matches the Rfam family "tRNA". Rfam says of the family: Transfer RNA (tRNA) molecules are approximately 80 nucleotides in length. The record is from RNAcentral. Lineage: Eukaryota; Fungi; Basidiomycota; Tremellomycetes; Tremellales; Tremellaceae.
AAGCCCAUAGCAUAAUUGGUAGUGCGCAUCGUUGAUAUCGGUGUAGCAGAGGUUCGAUUCCUCUUGAGCUUA